CGGAACGGGUGAGUAACGCGUGAGGAACCUGCCUCAAAGAGGGGGACGAACAGUGGAAACGACUGCUAAUACCGCAUAAGCCCACGGUGCCGCAUGGCACAGAGGGAAAAGGAGCAAUCCGCUUUGAGAUGGCCUCGCGUCCGAUUAGCUAGUUGGUGAGGUAACGGCCCACCAAGGCGACGAUCGGUAGCCGGACUGAGAGGUUGAACGGCCACAUUGGGACUGAGACACGGCCCAG
This 238-nucleotide ribosomal RNA is filed under the name uncultured bacterium. Its description in RNAcentral is "partial 16S ribosomal RNA". It matches the Rfam family "Bacterial small subunit ribosomal RNA", at positions 100 to 334 of the family's 1533-position model. The record is from RNAcentral.